Molecule: ribosomal RNA, 429 nt
Filed under: Pseudomonadota bacterium
Lineage: Bacteria; Pseudomonadati; Pseudomonadota
Description: Proteobacteria bacterium partial 16S ribosomal RNA
Rfam family: Bacterial small subunit ribosomal RNA
Source: RNAcentral
UGGGGAAUAUUGGACAAUGGGCGAAAGCCUGAUCCAGCCAUGCCGCGUGUGUGAAGAAGGUCUUCGGAUUGUAAAGCACUUUAAGUUGGGAGGAAGGGCAGUAAGCGAAUACCUUGCUGUUUUGACGUUACCGACUGAAUAAGCACCGGCUAACUCUGUGCCAGCAGCCGCGGUAAUACAGAGUGUGCAAGCGUUAAUCGGAAUUACUGGGCGUAAAGCGCGCGUAGGUGGUUCGUUAAGUUGAAUGUGAAGGCCCCGGGCUCAACCUGGGAACUGCAUCCAAAACUGGCGAGCUAGAGUAAGACAGAGGAUGGUGGAAGUUGCUGUGUAGAGGUGAAAUGCGUAGAUAUAGGAAGGAACACCAGUGGCGAAGGCGACCACCUGGGCUCAUACUGACACUGAAGUGCGAAAGAGUGGGGAGCAAACAGG